UACGGGAGGCAGCAGUGGGGAAUAUUGCACAAUGGGCGAAAGCCUGAUGCAGCUAUGCCGCGUGUAUGAAGAAGGCCUUAGGGUUGUAAAGUACUUUUCAUCGGGGAGGAAAAACAAAACUAAUAAUUUUAUUUCUUGACGUUACCCGAAAAAGAAGCACCGGCUAACUCCGUGCCAGCAGCCGCGGUAAUACGGAGGGUGCUAGCGUUAAUCAGAAUUACUGGGCGUAAAGAGCACGUAGGUGGUUUUUUUAAGUCAGAUGUGAAAUCCCUGGGCUUAACCUGGAACUGCAUUUUGAAACUGAAAUACUAGAGUAUCGUAGAGGGAGGUAGAAUUCUAGGUGUAGCGGUGAAAUGCGUAGAUAUCUGGAGGAAUACCUGUGGCGAAAGCGGCCUCCUAAACGAAUACUGACACUGAGGUGCGGAAAGCGUGGGGAGCAAACAGGGAUUAGAUACC
Molecule: ribosomal RNA, 456 nt
Filed under: uncultured bacterium
Lineage: Bacteria
Description: bacterial SSU rRNA
Rfam family: Bacterial small subunit ribosomal RNA
Source: RNAcentral